UACGACGGGGGCUAGCGUUGCUCGGAAUCACUGGGCGGAAAGCGCACGUAGGAGGCUUGUUAAGUCAGGGGUGAAAUCCUGGAGCUCAACUCCAGAACUGCCUUUGAUACUGGCGAUCUUGAGUCCGGGAGAGGUGAGUGGAACUGCGAGUGUAGAGGUGAAAUUCGUAGAUAUUCGCAAGAACACCAGUGGCGAAGGCGGCUCACUGGCCCGGUACUGACGCUGAGGUGCGAAAGCGUGGGGAGCAAACAGG
Molecule: ribosomal RNA, 253 nt
Filed under: uncultured bacterium
Lineage: Bacteria
Description: partial 16S ribosomal RNA
Rfam family: Bacterial small subunit ribosomal RNA
Source: RNAcentral